ACUGGGAUUGGCACAGGAGUGUCUUUAGUCAGUGGUCAAGAGGAACAUGUUACAUUAGAGGAGAACUGUGUAGGAACUCCUCCAGUCAUUGGGAUUGUGGGUGAUUCUUCGUCGACACGUACUAUAGCCAUGUCCACAGUGUUAGGUUCGUACAGAGUGCCUCUGGUCAGUUAUUUUGCCACAUGCUCCUGUUUGAGUGACCGACAGAAGUUCCCAUCUUUCUUUAGGACGAUCCCAAGUGAUGCUUUUCAGGUCCGUGCUAUGAUUCAGAUUCUAAAACACUAUGGAUGGACUUGGGCAGGUCUGCUCAUCAGUAAUGAUGAUUAUGGAAUCCACG
Long non-coding RNA from Solea solea (common sole), 337 nucleotides. RefSeq lists it as uncharacterized. NCBI's taxonomy places the organism in Eukaryota, Metazoa, Chordata, Actinopteri, Pleuronectiformes, Soleidae. The record is from RefSeq and is a predicted model, not a curated record. The transcript has 3 exons.